Molecule: ribosomal RNA, 379 nt
Filed under: uncultured bacterium
Lineage: Bacteria
Description: partial 16S ribosomal RNA
Rfam family: Bacterial small subunit ribosomal RNA
Source: RNAcentral
CCUACGGGUGGCAGCAGUGGGGAAUAUUGCACAAUGGGGGAAACCCUGAUGCAGCAACGCCGCGUGAGUGAAGAAGUAUUUCGGUAUGUAAAGCUCUAUCAGCAGGGAAGAAGAAAGACGGUACCUGACUAAGAAGCCCCGGCUAACUACGUGCCAGCAGCCGCGGUAAUACGAAGGGGGAAAGCGUUAUCCGGAUUUACUGGGGGUAAAGGGGGCGUAGACGGGUGUGCAAGUCUGAAGUGAAAGCCCGUGGCUUAACCGCGGAACUGCUUUGGAAACUGUAUAGCUGGAGUGUGGGAGAGGCAGGCGGAAUUCCUAGUGUAGCGGUGAAAUGCGUAGAGAUUAGGAGGAACACUAGUGGCGAAGGCGGCCUGCUGGA